GUUAAUAAUUUAGGUUAAUUAAAAUAUUAAUAAUAAAAAAAAAUUUAAAGUAUAUUAAAGAAAAAAAAAUAAUUUUAUAGUAAAAUAGUAUAGUAAUAGAAAGAUGAAAUAUAUUGAAAAUUGAAUUAAUAAAAAGUAAAUUUAAUUUAUUGUAUCUUGUGUAUCAGAGAAUAUUAAAAAAUUUUUAUUUAAAAAUAAAUUUUUCGAAAUUUAAAGAGUUAAUUGAAUAUUUUAGUUAUUGUUAAAAAAAUAUUAAAAAUAUUUAAUUAGAAAUGAAAUGUUAAUCGUUUUAAAUGAUAUCUAAUUUUUUAAGAAAUAAAUUUAAUUUAGUUAUUUUAAAGAAAAUUGUUUUUUGAUUAAAUAAUUUUUAUUUUAAAUAAUUAUAUUAUAGGGGAUAAGCUUUAUAAUAAAAUUUUAUAUUUAAUUAAUGAUACUUAAAAAAUAUAAGAAUAAAAUUAUUUAUUAUUUUUAUUUUUUUAUAAAAAAUUUUUUAUAAAAUCAAUUUUAAUAUAUAAAAAUUAAUGAAUAAUUUAUUAAAAUUUUUAUUUAAAUUUAAAAAAUAAAGUAAUAAUGAUAUUAUUAGUAUAUAUUUAAUAAAUUUUUAAGUGUAAUUAAAUGUUUAGUUAAAUUUAAGAAUUCGGCAAAAAUUUAUAUUCGCUUGUUUAACAAAAACAUGUCUUUUUGGUUAAUAAUUUAAAGUCUAAUCUGCCCACUGAAUUAAAUUUUAAAGGGCUGCGGUAAUUUAACCGUACAAAGGUAGCAUAAUAAAUAGUUUUUUAAUUGAAGACUGGAAUGAAUGAUUGGACGAAAUAUAAGCUGUUUUAAUUUAAUUAAAAUAAAAUUUAAUUUUUUAGUUAAAAAGCUAUAAUAAUUUUAAAAGACGAGAAGACCCUAUAAAUCUUUAUAGGGAUAAUUUUAAAUAUAAUUUUUUAAUAUUUAUAUUUAUAAGAUUAAACUUAUUUUAUUGGGGUGAUAUAAAAAUUUACAGAACUUUUUAUUUAUAAUUAUUUUAAUUAAAAGAAAAUAAAAAUUGAUUUAUUUUAAUAAUUUAAAGAAUAAGAUACUUUAGGGAUAACAGCGUAAUUUUAAUUUUAAGUUCUUAUUAAAAUUAAAGAUUGCGACCUCGAUGUUGGAUUAAAAUUUAAUUUAAAUGUAACCGUUUAAAAAUUUAGUCUGUUCGACUAUUAAAAUUUUACAUGAUCUGAGUUCAAACCGGUGUGAGCCAGGUUGGUUUCUAUCUUUAAUUAAGAAAAAAUUUUUUAGUACGAAAGGAUUAAAAAUUUUAAAUAAUUUUAAAAUAAAUGAAUUAAUUUAAUUUUAUUUAA
This 1325-nucleotide ribosomal RNA is filed under the name Phryganea bipunctata. RNAcentral describes it as "16S ribosomal RNA". Lineage: Eukaryota; Metazoa; Arthropoda; Insecta; Trichoptera; Phryganeidae. The record is from RNAcentral.